RNAcentral lists this non-coding RNA (30 nucleotides) under Mus musculus (house mouse). The record is from RNAcentral. Lineage: Eukaryota; Metazoa; Chordata; Mammalia; Rodentia; Muridae.
UACAAGUACACUGGCAAACUCCCACUGGGU